UAGGGGGUGUAGCAAUACAUCACCGGCGGACGGGUGCGUAACACGUGGGAAUAUACCUUUUGGUUCGGAACAACGCAGGGAAACUUGAGCUAAUACCGAAUGUGCCCUUCGGGGGAAAGAUUUAUCGCCAUUGGAGCGGCCCGCGUCUGAUUAGCUAGUUGGUGGGGUAAAGGCCUACCAAGGCUACGAUCAGUAGCUGGUCUGAGAGGAUGAUCAGCCACACUGGGACUGAGACACGGCCCAGACUCCUACGGGAGGCAGCAGUAGGGAAUCUUGCGCAAUGGGCGAAAGCCUGACGCAGCCAUGCCGCGUGAAUGAUGAAGGUCUUAGGAUUGUAAAAUUCUUUCAGCGGGGACGAUAAUGACGGUACCCGCAGAAGAAGCCCCGGCUAACUUCGUG
Molecule: ribosomal RNA, 399 nt
Filed under: uncultured bacterium
Lineage: Bacteria
Description: bacterial SSU rRNA
Rfam family: Bacterial small subunit ribosomal RNA
Source: RNAcentral